This is a long non-coding RNA of Mauremys mutica (yellowpond turtle), 376 nucleotides long. RefSeq lists it as uncharacterized. The record is from RefSeq and is a predicted model, not a curated record. NCBI's taxonomy places the organism in Eukaryota, Metazoa, Chordata, Testudines, Geoemydidae. The transcript is spliced from 4 exons.
GGGAGAUGUGAGCAAAGGUCAAAGGAGAAGUGAAGGAUCUCAGAGUGCUUGACAGACUGUGGACCACAUUCUGUUCUUGUCUGUUGUCUAGUCUCUCUAGGUGGAGUACCUCCCAGCUCAUCAAGGUGCACCAGAUGGAAUAGUGAGAAAGAAGAGAGGAAAGACAACAGGAGGAAGAGGAAAAGCGGAUGAAAGGUAUUCUGUCAGCCCAGCAGCACCUCUCGUCAGUCACAGACCGGAAGGAUUGUCUCCAGGGAAGCCAGUUCAGAUUUCCCCCAAAUGACAAGCACGUGUACAUGCCUACAACUCUCGGAGAGUGUGCAGGCCUCCUAAAGGUUGAUGCUUUUGUAACAAUUCCAUCAGACUUCACCACAAG